This 253-nucleotide ribosomal RNA is filed under the name uncultured bacterium. RNAcentral's name for it is "partial 16S ribosomal RNA". It matches the Rfam family "Bacterial small subunit ribosomal RNA", at positions 524 to 776 of the family's 1533-position model. RNAcentral also lists the same sequence under 1 other name. The record is from RNAcentral.
UACGUAGGGGGCAAGCGUUAUCCGGAUUUACUGGGUGUAAAGGGAGCGUAGACGGAUGUGCAAGUCUGAAGUGAAAGCCCGGGGCUCAACCCCGGGACUGCUUUGGAAACUGUGUAUCUAGAGUGCCGGAGAGGUAAGCGGAAUUCCCAGUGUAGCGGUGAAAUGCGUAGAUAUUGGGAGGAACACCAGUGGCGAAGGCGGCUUACUGGACGGUAACUGACGUUGAGGCUCGAAAGCGUGGGGAGCAAACAGG